CUACGGGAGGCAGCAGUGGGGAAUAUUGCACAAUGGAGGAAACUCUGAUGCAGCAACGCCGCGUGGAGGAUGACACUUUUCGGAGCGUAAACUCCUUUUAUAUGUCAAGAAGAUGACGGUACUAUAUGAAUAAGCGCCGGCUAACUCCGUGCCAGCAGCCGCGGUAAUACGGAGGGCGCAAGCGUUACUCGGAAUCACUGGGCGUAAAGAGCGUGUAGGCGGAUUAAAAAGUCAGAAGUGAAAUCCUAUAGCUUAACUAUAGAACUGCUUCUGAAACUCUUAAUCUAGAAUAUGGGAGAGGUAGAUGAAAUUUCUGGUGUAGGGGUAAAAUCCGUAGAGAUCAGAAGGAAUACCGAUUGCGAAGGCGAUCUACUAGAACAUUAUUGACGCUGAGACGCGAAAGCGUGGGGAGCAAACAGGAUUAGAUACCCCUGUAGUC
This 439-nucleotide ribosomal RNA is filed under the name uncultured bacterium. Its description in RNAcentral is "partial 16S ribosomal RNA". It matches the Rfam family "Bacterial small subunit ribosomal RNA", at positions 339 to 795 of the family's 1533-position model. The record is from RNAcentral.